AUGCCUUUGUGGCCUGGCUGGGUCCUGUUGAGCGGCUCCUGGCUCAGCUUUGGUGGGAAGAGCCUGGGACAGGCCCUCUCCAGAGUGCCCUGCAACAAGUUCAGGUAUGAGGAAAGAGUACCCUCCUCUUCAGGACUCCCUUGGGGAGUGCUUGUUCUCUGGGAAAGAUUAAGACUGUACUCAUUGUGUGGCUCUUGGCAGGGUGUAUGUGAGGAAGUCCGUCAGAAAGCAUCAGACAUGGAGAUUGUUCGAGAGAUGGGUCAGAGGCUCUUGGAGCUGGUGGCAGGGGAAGAGGCCCAGCUGGUACGGGAGCAGCUAGAGGAGCUGCGGGUGAGGCUGCUGCUGGCUGGGCAGAGCGGGGCCCAUAUCAGACUUCGACUGGAGCAGACUCUGGAGGCAGCCACUCGGCUGCAACCAUCUGGAGAGCCACCACCACCUGCAGCCUGGCUGGGGAGGCUGGAGCAGGCAUGGGCGGCAGCGGAGCCUGGAGAGCAGGAGGACAGAGAGCAGGUGACUGGGGAAGAACAUGCAGAAGCGGCUAGUGACCAGCGUUGCAGGGGAUUGGGAAGAAAGGGAGAAGGCAAUAUGGGGAGACAGAGAAGGUGGCUGGGGAAGGAUAUGUGGGAGGUGGGGUUGGAGGUAGAGUGACCAGCAUAGCAGGGGGCUGAGAAGAAAGGAGAGAGAAAGAAAACAGGACACAGGAAGACAGCCCGUCCUUCCACUCUCUUCUCUUCUCCUUGCCUCAGUUGUGGAAAGCUAUUGCAGAGGAACUGGGCCGCCUGAGCACACUAGGGCAGCGGGUGGAAGAGCUGAAUGGAGUGACCCUGGAGGCUUCAGCACUCCAGACCCAGCUGGGCCAGCACAAGGUAGGCCCUCCCCUCCCCACUGACCAAAAAUCACCUCUAACACUUACUAUAUGUGUGACUUUGGGCAAAACACUUACAUUUCUGGACCUUAAUUUCCUCAUCAGGAAAAUGAGAAUGUUGGCUAGAUGGGCUCUGAGAGGGUCUAGUAGAGCUCUGGCCCUAUAAUCCUGUCAUCUCUUCUACUCCAGGGACAGACAGAUGGGUAGAUGGAGUCAGACAUCACUCCCUGAGCCUGGGGACUGUGAGGGGUCAGAUAGAGGCUUUGGGCAAGUAGAAGCUUCACUUUCCCCAUCUUUAUUCCCCCUACCAAGGGGCAGGACAGGUAAAAUAAGGGAAGAGGAGAGAGCGAACCCCUCCAUUUCUCUGUCCUCUCCAUGACUCUCAUCUGCCUCUUUUAUUCCUUUCCUCUCUCAAACCUGCUUCCCCCUCACACCAGCUAUUGGCUGCUGAACUUCUGCAGCAACAGGAGCUAAGGACCCGCCUCCUAGGACUCUUGAGCACUGGAAUUCCUAGCCUCUGCCCCUCUGAGGAGAGGGAACAACUGCAGGUAAGUGGUGGGGACCCAGGCUGGGGAUGGAGUAGCUGUUCCUGUCUGGGCGUCCUGGUUGCAUGUUUUCUAAGAGUUAAGCCUUGUCUCCAGGGCUCUGGGUCCUGACUUCUCUGGCCUGGAGCAGGGCAUGGUUGGCACUGCCCUUACCCCAAGGCAAUGGCAGCCUGUAGAGGAACCUGCUUCCUGAUGCCCAGUUGGGUCUGUUCCCAUCUCCUCCCACUCCUCCUUCCCC
Long non-coding RNA from Monodelphis domestica (gray short-tailed opossum), 1648 nucleotides. NCBI's taxonomy places the organism in Eukaryota, Metazoa, Chordata, Mammalia, Didelphimorphia, Didelphidae. The record is from Ensembl.